UGAACAGAUCUGUGAGGAUUUCACCAGAUCUAGGGUUCUACUUUCAUUCGAUUUCAAAUCCAUGACCCCAACCUGUGACGGUGUGGUGUGCAGUGUUAAAAUCCGCCGAUUAGGGUUCCGGCAGUGGGAUUCUUGAGCAGAUUUGUGGCAAAUGAGACGAGCAUCUGGCGGUAGAUGGUGAUUGAGGUAGGUUUCGACAACCCGCUUCUGAUUUAUCGGCUGCGUGUACGUUUUCUGACAAGGAAGGUGCUUCUUCUGCUAAGAAUGUCCAGUUGACUAGAGUGUAUGAUUUGGUAGCUGUGCUGACCCAUAAAGGCAGAAGUGCAGAUUCAGGCCAUUAUGUUGCUUGGGUAAAGCAAGAAAUGGAAAAUGGGUUCAGUUCGAUGACGAUAAUCCGAUCCCACAAAGGGAAGAAGAUAUAACAAAACUUUCUGGAGGAGGGGUGUUAAACGGGUCGUGUUCGUGGGUUGACGAGCUUGGGUGGCAGGUCCAACCCAAAUAAGACACGUCACAAAAACCUGAAAUUUGGGUUGGCAUGCGCAGCCGCAACGGCGUGGCGAUUCUUUGAGCCGUGGGCUAAUUAAUCUUAAUAUAUCUAGACCCAAGAAGGUAGACUUGACUGAUGUGGGCAUUGUCGGCGGUUUGUCUAUUGGGGUCGAAGAGAAGCAUAAAGGACUUCCAAAUUCUCUGUACAUGGGUCGAGCUAUUGGCACUGGAUCUGGGCUCGGUGGUUACGUUUUGGGAGGGAGAAGUUGUUGAUACAAAGAAUUAUGCAUUCUUCACCAACAAAUGGAAAGCAACGUCAGAAGUUGACAUAGAUCACUGGACAAAAUUUUCAUCUUUUUCACCUCUUUUAAGUCAAGUUGAAGUUGAUGGUGGGAAGUCAUUGGACCUAAGCAACUAUCAAUACAUAUUUAUGCCAAAUAUUCUGGUUUGGGGAUCUCAACUACAGGUUAUACUUGGAAAAUGAUUUAGCUAGGGAGCUAAUAAAAAAGCAAGAUUGGAGUGCCCUUCAAGAGUUUGAUCAGCUAAGGCAGGAACUCAGAGAUGGUGGAUGCCGUUCAUGGGACAGGUGUGACAGGAUCUUAUGGUAUGGAAAAGGAGUAAAACAACAUUCUUAUUUCCGUAGUGAGAGCAAGUUCUCCCACCAUUAGGCCCGUAUCGGCUCUUUUGUCUACACAAAUUGAACUCAUCAAGUCUGAGGAACAAGAAAGAGGUAAGGGGGAGGCUUCAUCUACAUUGCAUUCACUAAUGUCCAAAGAGUAAGAAGCACUAUCAUCAAACAAAAAAUGUCCUAGAACAAACAAAAGGCUAUGAUGCUGAGUUCAUUGGAUAAGAUAAACUCUUAGUGACUAAACAUUAUUAAGUUUUAGUUUCCAUGAUUCUUUUAUUGAUUAGCUUUGUUUUGGUUCCAACAAUGAAACAAUGAAACUGAAAACUAUGCUAAAAUGUUAGAUUAUACUAUUUUUGUGUCCGUGUCAAACAAGCGACUCGUAUCAGUCAACAACAGAGAUCUAAACCAAAAGGUGAACCAUGAUGGUAACGAAACAAAUGCGAUGAAUGCAGCAAGCGCAUGAUUGGAAGUAGGAAGAUAUAUAUAGAAACAGAUUAUAUAAGCAACAUACAUGAUGAAGGGUUGUUUAUCCAUUGUGUUUACAAAAACAAUUCCUCUUGUACUGAAUGGGUUGGGUUAUUUAUUUGUGGUCUUAUAGUUAACAACUUAACAAAUUCAAGCAUAGUGGUAUGCCCAUUUAUUUGGGCUGGGAACCAAUGUAGAAUGACCAAUUAUAGAUUGGCUUUGGUUACAUGAUCAUAAAUGGACCCACAAGGAGUCAAAAGACCACAUACACGGAACAUCCGUAGUCUUUGUUUCUAUCUUUUUUUUAGAAAAAAAUAUU
RNAcentral lists this long non-coding RNA (1898 nucleotides) under Helianthus annuus (common sunflower). The record is from RNAcentral. Lineage: Eukaryota; Viridiplantae; Streptophyta; Magnoliopsida; Asterales; Asteraceae.